This 75-nucleotide transfer RNA is filed under the name Dictyoglomota bacterium. Its description in RNAcentral is "Dictyoglomi bacterium (hydrothermal vent metagenome) tRNA-Gly". It matches the Rfam family "tRNA". Rfam says of the family: Transfer RNA (tRNA) molecules are approximately 80 nucleotides in length. The record is from RNAcentral. RNAcentral also lists the same sequence under 1 other name. Lineage: Bacteria; Pseudomonadati; Dictyoglomota.
GCGGGUGUAGCUCAGCGGUAGAGCAUCAGCCUUCCAAGCUGAGGGUCGCGGGUUCGAAUCCCGUCACCCGCUCCA